Molecule: ribosomal RNA, 334 nt
Filed under: Tricommatinae sp. n. MZSP 72935
Lineage: Eukaryota; Metazoa; Arthropoda; Arachnida; Opiliones; Gonyleptidae
Description: partial small subunit ribosomal RNA
Source: RNAcentral
GGAAUAAUUUUUAUAUAAAGGUCGGAGGGAGAGUAUUAGUAAGUGGGAAUUUAAAAAUUUUGGCGGUUGAUUUAUUUAUUAGAGGAGCUUGUUUUAAGGAGAAUUUACUCGUUAUAUUUAAAUAGAUUUCUGUUUAUUCAUCUCCGUUAUUAGAUGACAUGUAGUUGGAGGAAACUGUUGGUUUGGAUUUCAGGUCUAGAUGUAGCUAGAUGUAGGUAGGAUUAGCUACAAUUAUGAAUUAAUGGAUUGGGGCUGGGAUAGGAAAAGAAAAUUGGAUUUAGAUGUAAUUUUGAUUAGGAAGUCGAGCGUAAGUAAGGAAAUUGAUGUACAUAUC